AUGUCUGGAUCGACAUGCAGGGAGCGCGACGCCUCCAUCACCUGCCAUGUCCACCACGCCCUCCGCCACUACAACGCCAGCAACCCGGGCUCAGAGUUCGUCCUCGUCAAGCCUCUCAUGGCCGCGUACGUGGGCUUCCAAAGCCACAUCUGGGUCCACGUCGGCUUCGUGGCUCGCAGGAAGAAAAUCGCCAGCAGCAAACGGAGGCGCAACCAGGCCAACGAGGCGGACAAGACCUUCUUCGCCGAGCUGCGCUACAGCCACCACCUCUCCGGCGCGCCGGCCGUUGAAACAUGCGCCAUCAUCGAGAAGUCGUCCCGCAAAAGUCACUUGAAGACCGCGUGUGCAUUUUGCCCCGAGAGCUUUCAGAUUUUGCACCCCCUUGACGGCAGCUUCCUGUGCGGAAAGAAGAGCCAGACAAAUGAAGGACAGGGUUUCACACAUUUCACGAACCUGCUUGAGUUGCCGUUCACAUGCCCCACGGCUAAUGGGGAAGGCAAGGAGGAUGCGGCAGCCCCACAGGAGGAGGAGCAUAGUAGCACCCUGAGCUGGGCUGCUCUCCCCUUUCAUUUUAUCGGUAAUCUUAUUACAAGGGUUUUGCCAGCCUUAAUUCGAUGCUAG
This 621-nucleotide ribosomal RNA is filed under the name Triticum aestivum (bread wheat). Its description in RNAcentral is "partial small subunit ribosomal RNA". Lineage: Eukaryota; Viridiplantae; Streptophyta; Magnoliopsida; Poales; Poaceae. The record is from RNAcentral.